RNAcentral lists this unclassified non-coding RNA (278 nucleotides) under plant metagenome. RNAcentral describes it as "partial contains 5.8S ribosomal RNA, internal transcribed spacer 2, and large subunit ribosomal RNA". The record is from RNAcentral.
UUCAACUCCCACCUCGACGCCCGCAGGCUACUCUUUCCCUCCCGCGAAGGGCGCGACAAGCCCCUGACGACCCGCACGAUCCGCUACAUAGUCAAGAAAUACGUUCGCGCCGCCGGCAUAACCAAGGCCAUCUCCCCACACUCCAUCCGCCACACCGUCGGGACUAACAUGGCCAUAAACGAGGCACCACUCCUCGUUAUCCAGCAAUUCCUCGGCCACUCCGACCCCAAAACCACCAUGCGCUACAUCCGCCGCGCCGAAGAACUCACCACCCGCGC